This 134-nucleotide non-coding RNA is filed under the name Lachnospiraceae bacterium CAG:364. RNAcentral also lists the same sequence under 1 other name. The record is from RNAcentral. Lineage: Bacteria; Bacillati; Bacillota; Clostridia; Lachnospirales; Lachnospiraceae.
AAACUGCAUAUCCAUGAUGGUCGUUGGAGCUUGCUCCAAGGUUAAAAGGGAAAUCGGUGCAAAUCCGAUACAGUCACCUCUACUGUAAUGCUUUUCGGCUAAGUCAGAAAAUCUGCCAUCAGAGAAAUAGAUUU